Molecule: long non-coding RNA, 315 nt
Filed under: Pan troglodytes (chimpanzee)
Lineage: Eukaryota; Metazoa; Chordata; Mammalia; Primates; Hominidae
Description: long non-coding RNA NONPTRT001517
Source: RNAcentral
UGUUGAUGGAUCAAAUAAAAUUUAAUUUGAUGAGCAACUCCAUAAAAUGAAUGUCUGACUUUUAAGUGUGAACCACAGCUCAAAUCUCUGAAAAACCUCAGUGUUUUUAUUACACUUUAUGCAAUAGGUCACAUUGAAAAAGUUAUCUUGGAAACUAGUUUUUGGAUAUUGAUAUUUUAUAAAUGUAUUAAUUUCCUACAGGAAUGGAAUGUUUCUUUAGAAAAAAAUACACUAAACUGGGAAGUGUGUUUAAGCUUCUAUGAAGCCCACUCACUUUCAAUAUUAGAGCAUGCAUGAAACUCUAUGAACUUACCU